This is a long non-coding RNA of Tachyglossus aculeatus (Australian echidna), 627 nucleotides long. RefSeq lists it as uncharacterized. The transcript has 5 exons. The record is from RefSeq and is a predicted model, not a curated record. NCBI's taxonomy places the organism in Eukaryota, Metazoa, Chordata, Mammalia, Monotremata, Tachyglossidae.
CUUCCAAAGGACAAUUCGGCAACAGAGACAGAGACAGGGAGACCGUCCGUCCCUCCCCAACCCAACCACGGGCCUCCUCUCAGCCGGACUCCCACAGGUGUAGACUGGAACUGUUGGAGAAGUUGUCCGUAAGCAAGGAGAAGUUGACCUCCAGUUCAGGGGAAUCAAGUAAAAUGGCGUUGGGUUCUGGAAACUCGACCUUCCAAGGAGAGCUGAAAGAGGGGAAAACAGCCGAGUAAGGGAGAAGGGUGCUUUUGCCUGAAGUUUGGAGACUCCUACCAUUCCAUCGGGCUUCACUGAUGGACAGUUUUCUAUCUGUAAAACGUUCUCUGUUCCUGGAUUAAACAUGCUACAAAAACUCCAACCAUUGAGGGCAAGCUCAGGUCAAGUCUGCCUCGAAGGCCGCAUGGGAUGAAACAAAAUUGCCUCUUGUUUUGUGUCACUCCUGAGCAUGAUUCAUUCUGUCUUGUAAGUUCUCCCUGAAGGACUAAAGAAACCUACAGAAGGACUCUCUCUGGAAAUCCCCCCGGGUUUGGAGAGGAGACACGUAUGCACCUGUCCCUGAUUGAGGGGAGAAUGGCCAAGCUGCCAGAAGGUGGGCUUCUGCUGGGAGAAGGGCGUGUUAUG